This 481-nucleotide ribosomal RNA is filed under the name uncultured bacterium. RNAcentral describes it as "partial 16S ribosomal RNA". It matches the Rfam family "Bacterial small subunit ribosomal RNA", at positions 30 to 507 of the family's 1533-position model. The record is from RNAcentral.
UUGAACGCUGGCGGCAUGCCUUACACCUGCCAGUCGCACGGUAACGGGCCUUCGGGUGCCGCCGAGUGGCGAACGGGUGAGUAAUACAUCGGAACGUGCCCGAUCGUGGGGGAUAACGAGGCGAAAGCUUUGCUAAUACCGCAUACGAUCUACGGAUGAAAGCAGGGGACCGCAAGGCCUUGCGCGGACGGAGCGGCCGAUGGCAGAUUAGGUAGUUGGUGGGGUAAAAGCUUACCAAGCCGACGAUCUGUAGCUGGUCUGAGAGGAUGAUCAGCCACACUGGGACUGAGACACGGCCCAGACUCCUACGGGAGGCAGCAGUGGGGAAUUUUGGACAAUGGGCGCAAGCCUGAUCCAGCCAUGCCGCGUGCAGGAUGAAGGCCUUCGGGUUGUAAACUGCUUUUGUAUGGAACGAAAAGCCUUCUUUUAAUACAGGAGGGUCAUGACGGUACCGUAAGAAUAAGCACCGGCUAACUACGUG